CUCGGAAACCCCAGCGAUCGAUUUCCGAAGGCCGGGCCGAGCGAGCGCGUGUCCUGCAGUCUCGGGCCGCACCUCCAUCCCCAUGGCUUCGCAAGGCGUGGACCCGAGAGGGCUGGGAGAUGACGAGCUGCACUGCCUCCUCAGAGAGCUAGACGAAGUGAUCAGAGACUUCGAUAACGGCAGCAGCUGUCAGUAUGAGGAACAUCUGGAGGAGCUCAAGCAGAAGAGUGGCCUCGGCCUCGGCGUCUAUGACAGUGGGAUCGAUGAGGCUGAGAGUACCAGCCCAUCUCCAGGGAGCAGCUUAAACACCAGUGAGGAAAACAUUCACAUGCCAGCAACUUCUUCUGUUCCCAAAGCUAAGCUUGGAGACACAAAGGACCUGGAGGAUUACAUUGCUGACCUCGACAAAGAGCUGGAGGAAAUGUGAGACGCAGCCCUUGGUUGCCCGGUAGAGGUCCUCAAGAUGGAUCGCUGUAGAUGUGCCUGCCUGCAUACACCCCACAUGUUUGCUUUCUUCGUGGCCCUCCUCAGAAGGCCGGAGGGCAAAACCUCAGGGCCAGA
RNAcentral lists this long non-coding RNA (561 nucleotides) under Vombatus ursinus (common wombat). RNAcentral describes it as "lncRNA (ENSVURG00010019229.1)". The record is from RNAcentral. Lineage: Eukaryota; Metazoa; Chordata; Mammalia; Diprotodontia; Vombatidae.